AUAUUGGACAAUGGGGGCAACCCUGAUCCAGCCAUCCCGCGUGUGCGAUGAAGGCCUUCGGGUUGUAAAGCACUUUUGGCAGGGAAGAAAAGGCUCUGGUUAAUACCUGGAGCUGCUGACGGUACCUGCAGAAUAAGCACCGGCUAACUACGUGCCAGCAGCCGCGGUAAUACGAAGGGUGCAAGCGUUAAUCGGAAUUACUGGGCGUAAAGCGCGCGUAGGUGGUUUGUUAAGUUGGAAGUGAAAGCCCCGGGCUCAACCUUGGAACUGCAUUCUUAACUGCCGGGCUAGAGUAUGUCAGAGGGGGGUAGAAUUCCGCGUGUAGCAGUGAAAUGCGUAGAGAUGCGGAGGAAUACCGAUGGCGAAGGCAGCCCCCUGGGAUAAUACUGACGCUCAUGCACGAAAGCGUGGGGAGCAAAC
This 420-nucleotide ribosomal RNA is filed under the name uncultured bacterium. RNAcentral's name for it is "partial 16S ribosomal RNA". It matches the Rfam family "Bacterial small subunit ribosomal RNA", at positions 361 to 773 of the family's 1533-position model. The record is from RNAcentral.